AGAGUUUGAUCCUGGCUCAGAUUGAACGCUGGCGGCAGGCUUAACACAUGCAAGUCGAGCGGUAACAGGAGAAGCUUGCUUCUCGCUGACGAGCGGCGGACGGGUGAGUAAUACUUAGGAAUCUACCUAGUAGUGGGGGAUAGCUCGGGGAAACUCGAAUUAAUACCGCAUACGACCUACGGGAGAAAGGGGGCAACUUGUUGCUCUCGCUAUUAGAUGAGCCUAAGUCGGAUUAGCUAGAUGGUGGGGUAAAGGCCUACCAUGGC
RNAcentral lists this ribosomal RNA (266 nucleotides) under uncultured bacterium. Its description in RNAcentral is "partial 16S ribosomal RNA". It matches the Rfam family "Bacterial small subunit ribosomal RNA", at positions 8 to 274 of the family's 1533-position model. The record is from RNAcentral.